RNAcentral lists this ribosomal RNA (650 nucleotides) under uncultured bacterium. RNAcentral describes it as "bacterial SSU rRNA". It matches the Rfam family "Bacterial small subunit ribosomal RNA", at positions 202 to 842 of the family's 1533-position model. The record is from RNAcentral.
GAAAGUUGGGGAGACCUGACGCUGAAAGAUGGACUCGCGUCCCAUUAGCUAGUUGGUAGGGUAAUGGCCUACCAAGGCGACGAUGGGUAGCCGGCCUGAGAGGGUGGCCGGCCACACUGGGACUGAGACACGGCCCAGACUCCUACGGGAGGCAGCAGUGGGGAAUUUUGCGCAAUGCUCGUAAGAGUGACGCAGCGACGCCGCGUGAAUGACGAAGGCCUUCGGGUCGUAAAGUUCUUUCGACAGGGAAGGAAAUGCCUAUAAGUAACUGUGUAUGUAUUGACGGUACCUGUAUAAGCAGCCCCGGCUAACUCCGUGCCAGCAGCCGCGGUAAUACGGAGGGGGCGAGCGUUGUUCGGAGUGACUGGGCGUAAAGAGCACGUAGGCGGUGUUGUAAGUCAUUAGUCAAAGACUAGAGCUCAACUUUAGUAAGGCUAGUGAUACUAUAAUACUAGAGUAUCAGAGAGGAUUGCAGAAUUCCUGGUGUAGCGGUGAAAUGCGUAGAUAUCAGGAGGGAUACCGUUAGCGAAGGCGGCAAUCUGGCUGGAAACUGACGCUGAGGUGCGAAAGCGUGGGUAGCAAACAGGAUUAGAUACCCUGGUAGUCCACGCUGUAAACGAUGGAUGCUAGGUGUUGGGCUUUUAAGUUCA